This 1265-nucleotide long non-coding RNA is filed under the name Heterocephalus glaber (naked mole-rat). RNAcentral describes it as "lncRNA (ENSHGLG00100051535.1)". The record is from RNAcentral. Lineage: Eukaryota; Metazoa; Chordata; Mammalia; Rodentia; Bathyergidae.
GGGGAAAGGGUUUAUUUAGCUCACAGUUUGUAGAGGAUUCAGUCCAUAAUUGGCUGGCUUCAAGGCAGAGUAGAUGGCAAACGGGCAUCGGAGAAGAGAAACAACAUGGCAUGAACAAGGUAGCAAAAGCAACAAGGGAAACAGUUCAUGGCAGUGGAAGACAGCAAAAAGCAGCAAGGGGUGCCACUGCCUUUUUGUACACCUCUAAGUGAGCAUGCCGUGUGCCCUGGACAUCUCUGUGUGGACCUCUGGUCCCAUCUCUUAGAGUACUUGGAGCACAUCUAUGUACUUGGUUGGUGCAUAUUUCUGCCUGUACCUCAGAGUCACUCUCCUGCCAGCCCAGUCCCGCUCAUCUGGCCCCAGGACAUACCUCUGCCUUAAUUUCUGGAGGAGAUACAAUUUCUUGAUGACCUUUUUACCAAGAUGGUGCCAUAGAUGAAGAAGGAAGCUCCUGCCCCUCCCAAAGCUGAAGCCAAAGCUUUGAAAGCCAAGAAGGCAGUGCUGAAAGGCUUCCACAGCCACAAAAAGAAGAAGAUGUGCACAUCACCCACCCUUUGCUGUCCAGGGAUACUGGGGCCCGAGGCAGCUCAAAUACCCUCAGAAGAGCACCCCUAGGAGGAACAAGCUUGACCACUAUGCCAUCAUUAAGUUCCCCCUGACCACGGAGUCAGCUAUGAAGAAGACAGAGGACAACAACACACUUGUGUUCAUUGUGGAUGUCAAGGUCAGCAAGCAACAGAUCAAACAAACUGUGAAGAUUUUAUCAUAAUAAUAAUAAAAACAGUUAUCUUGAUGAACUUGAUUUGAAGGAGGGGACAGCACAGUGGAGCCUUCAAGAGUGUGAGGCCCCUCCUUGUCCAGGGGACCACAGUUUGGGAUGUAUUUUGCCCCAAGCCAUCGGGGAUGAGGCUCUUCUCAGUCCCCUUGUCUUCAAAUUCAUCUGCAUUAAACUUGGUGAAGAUCCUCUACUUUGAGAUAUGGAUCUUCUGGUGGCCAGGGAACUUGAACUUAGCCCUGCACAGGACCUCAAUCACAUGCUCCUUGUUUUGCAGUUUGGUGCAGACAGACAUGAUGACUUAUCCAAUGUGAAUCCUUGCCACUGUGCCCUGGGGCUUCCCAAAGGCACCCCAUGUACCUGUCUGGAGCCUACACUGGUGACAGCAUGAGGUCAGAGGGAUAGUCAGAAGAAAGCUUUAGAAGACGUGGAAACUUCUAACGGGGUCAGUUGUGGAAGACCCCAUAGUUGGUGGGACAGACAAAGCCCU